Molecule: ribosomal RNA, 303 nt
Filed under: uncultured bacterium
Lineage: Bacteria
Description: partial 16S ribosomal RNA
Rfam family: Bacterial small subunit ribosomal RNA
Source: RNAcentral
AGCAGUCGCCGCGGUAAUACAGAGGGUGCGAGCGUUAAUCGGAUUUACUGGGCGUAAAGCGUGCGUAGGCGGCUUUUUAAGUCGGAUGUGAAAUCCCUGAGCUUAACUUAGGAAUUGCAUUCGAUACUUGGAAGCUAGAGUAUGGGAGAGGAUGGUAGAAUUCCAGGUGUAGCGGUGAAAUGCGUAGAGAUCUGGAGGAAUACCGAUGGCGAAGGCAGCCAUCUGGCCUAAUACUGACGCUGAGGUACGAAAGCAUGGGGAGCAAACAGGAUUAGAUACCCCUGUAGUCCCUGUCUCUUAUAC